AGUAAAUAGAUACCCUGGUAGUCCACGCCGUAAACGAUGAGUACUAGGUGUAGGAGGUAUCGACUCCUUCUGUGCCGCAGUUAAACACAAUAAGUACUCCGCCUGGGAAGUACGGUCGCAAGAUUAAAACUCAAAGGAAUUGACGGGGGCCCGCACAAGCAGCGGAGCAUGUGGUUUAAUUCGAAGCAACGCGAAGAACCUUACCUAGACUUGACAUCCCCUGAAUAACGUAGAGAUACGCGAAGCCCUUCGGGGCAGGGAGACAGGUGGUGCAUGGUUGUCGUCAGCUCGUGUCGUGAGAUGUUGGGUUAAGUCCCGCAACGAGCGCAACCCUUAUCAUUAGUUGCUACCAUUUAGUUGAGCACUCUAGUGAGACUGCCCGGGUUAACCGGGAGGAAGGCGGGGAUGACGUCAAAUCAUCAUGCCCCUUAUGUCUAGGGCUACACACGUGCUACAAUGGUGAGAACAACGAGAUGCAAUACCGCGAGGUGGAGCAAAACUUCAAAACUCAUCUCAGUUCGGAUUGUAGGCUGAAACUC
Molecule: ribosomal RNA, 539 nt
Filed under: uncultured bacterium
Lineage: Bacteria
Description: bacterial SSU rRNA
Rfam family: Bacterial small subunit ribosomal RNA
Source: RNAcentral